Long non-coding RNA from Nymphaea colorata (pocket water lily), 1609 nucleotides. RefSeq lists it as uncharacterized. The record is from RefSeq and is a predicted model, not a curated record. Lineage: Eukaryota; Viridiplantae; Streptophyta; Magnoliopsida; Nymphaeales; Nymphaeaceae. The transcript is spliced from 4 exons.
GAAUAUUAAUAUUCUUUUGUUAGUAGAAGUCACUUUUGUUGGUUUGAGCUACAAGAUAUACCUCGCAAAGGUAUUUCAGGGACUUAAAAAAAUGAAUAGCCCAUAAAGUUUCAAAUGUUUGAGGCUUGAAAGAUAUUUGUUCAUGGAAAAAAGAUCUAAGAGUUGAUUCUUGGCAAGAUGAUUACACUAGAAAGACUUUUGUUCAUGAAAAAAGAUCUAAGAAUUGAUUCUUAGCUAGAUAAUCGUGCUGAAAACAGCUGAUGUCUGAUUUGAGAAACAUGUAUACCUGUUCUCGUGCUUGAUUUUUUUUAUUAACCAUUUUCCUGGAUUACAAAUAAAUUCUUUAUGAAUAAUCUUUCAGAAUUUCCAGCUUGUUUGAUAGAUAUACUUUCCAUUUGUUAUAUUGAACAAAUCAACAAUGUACAGGUCUGUGCUUGGAAUUUAAAUUGCAGAAAUUGGUCUGUUGCAACUGUUUUUGUUGAUAACAAGAGGGAUUGUGCUUGACAGAGAGCUGACCACCCAUCUAGCACACUUGGUGUUGCAGCUGGUUCUUCAUUGCUUGCACUGAAAACCAUGCGACCCUGGAGCUGCUGGAUAUACAAUCAAGGAGGCAGUAUCUCUGGUUAGAAGCAUGAUUCCAGGACAGCGAGCUCUUGCUUUGCAACUUUUGGCUGUCGUACUUGAACAGGCUUUGUGCAAUUUACAACCACAAAAUGUAACUGGUUGCGAACUUGGUGUCGCUCAACAUGGUGAUGAUUCUGUUGACUGUGAAGCUCUUUGGGCUUACGCUAUUGGUCCAGAAUCAGAACUGAUCUUAACUUUAAGGUAGAUGUCUCAUUAUAUGUACACAUAAAUAUUUGCUUCACUGAGUUUUCUUUAGUCUUUUUUGGUUAUCAUAAGAAGCUUUGGAAGAAACAAAAGUAGAUGUGGUGCCAUGUACAAAUAAUCUGUAAACUUGGUGGAUUUGUUCCACUGGAUUUUCUUUUAGCAUCCUUUGUUACCAUUCUCUGGAAGAAGGAAAAAUAAAUGUUCAACAGUGUAUAAAUGGUCUGCUAACUUUCUGGUUGUCUUUCGCUUGACAUAUCUAUUGUCUGACAAGCUAUAUGGGCUUACAGCAAACCUCCUCCCAAGCUUGUCUUCUUGUAGGUGCCUUAUGUCCUUUGUAGAUAUGCAAUGUAAACGUGCUUCAUUAUGCCACAGUUAAUUCAUAUUUUCUAAAUUAUAAAAAGGAAUUAUGUCUGUGUAUUGUAUAUGUUUCUAUUGUUAGUUGCUUUGUUAAGUACAACAGAUGUAAGAUGGCUGGAACAAUGAUAUUUUUAUUGAUUGGAGAAGAUGUCUUUCAAUAUUUUGAAAUAUUGAAAUUCUUGAUGAAGCAAACCAUUUAUACUUUUCUUUUACUGUUAUCUUUAUUUUUCUGUUUCAUGUACUAUGAUUCCUUUACUUACUGAUUGUGCAAAUUGAGAAGCAUUUAAUUUUACUUUGUCUCUCUCACAAUCCCGAAAACCUCAACAAUUAUUUACAGAAGAACUUUGAAACUCUUGGUCCAUACCCCAGAAGUUGUGAAGAACCUUCUUUUUUUGCCCUGAACAUUCAUGUGCUUAGAGUCUUA